Molecule: long non-coding RNA, 2082 nt
Organism: Cornus florida
Lineage: Eukaryota; Viridiplantae; Streptophyta; Magnoliopsida; Cornales; Cornaceae
Exons: 2
Source: RefSeq, a predicted model, not a curated record
CAUUAUAAUUUUUGUUAUAGAUUUUGUACAAAUCAGAUUCUUAUAUUUGAAUACUAUGAAACUUAAUGUGAAAAUGAAAUAAAAUAAACAGAAAAAAAAAAAGAUAUACAUACCAUAAAUAGAAAACUAAAAAGAUAGGAAAAUUAAGGAACUAUAAAAACCAAAAAAUAAUGAAAGGAAAAGAGACAUAUUUUAUAGAAACUAUAUAAAUAUGAAAGGGAAGAGCGAAUGUAUUUUGUGAAAACAAAUAAGAGUACUCAUGAUCCUUACAAACAAAAGUCAAAAAUUUUAUCAAUGUCCUAGGAUUUCAACUUAAUAUUCUUUGUUGGCGAUUAAAUUUUAGAAUAAACACGUUUGAAAAGAUAAGAAAAGAGGAUGGGAAGUAAUUUAUGAAAUUUUAGAAUGACCAGUCAUAUUUUGCGGUUGGAUAUCUCUGAACUUCUAAGGGCUAACGAAUGAAAACCCUAACGUCAAUCCUCCUCAAUCUUUUCUGCUCCUAUUUAUAAGUAAGGUGAAGAAGGAAGAAAGAACAACGGAGAAUCAGACGAGAAUCAGACGAGAAUCGAAGAUGGACGUAGAAGAAACGAUGGUGAUGUUGGACGAAGUCGAAGAAACUACAAGUAAUGUUGUUGCAGAAGAAGAAGAAGACAUAUAUAUACUUCAGCGUAGCAAGGUUGAACGGCGAUUGCCGCUGGUACUCAGUCAAAGACGACACAAAACCUCUCUCUCCCGUUUUCCCCGAUUUGCCGCCAAACUAUUCAUGCUCUUUUGGUUCUGCCCGUGUCGCCUUGCGCUCGGUCUUAUACUAAUCCCAAAUUAUGGCAUCCUGUGUGUAUCAAUCGGUACUUCGACCAAGGGUAUUGCAUCGACACUCUCUGUCCCUCCAAAGGGUGGACCGAAUGUCCCUGUAUGUCCAGGCCAAGGUACCACUACCAUCCCAAAGCCUUUACUCACGAUGGCAAGGUCUACGUGGCCGGGGGCCUUAUUUAUAGCCACUUGAUUGAUGAUAUACCACCUUGUGAAAAAGAUGGUUUAUGGUAUUUACCAAGUGAUAACUAUUUUGAAGUUCUUGAUCCCUCCUAGCCGGAGGAGAGCAGAUGCCGGCGACAAGUUUUCUCGACCGAAAUACCCCAAGAGGUUAGAUUGUUUUAUGUAGAUGCCGUACAAAUGUUACAGAAUUCAACUAGCGGAGCAUGGGAGCUGAAUGUGCUUCUCACUGGCUUACGACGAAGUGUGCUAUAUAAAUACAAUUUGGAUGAUGAAUCGUGGACACGCCUGGGUGGUGGACUUUGGUUUCUAUCGCCCCAGAAACGUCCUUUAUAAUGAUGAAAUCUUGUAUUGGUAUGAUAAAAUGUCGUCACUGGAUCACAUUGUUUGGAUGUCAAUAGUGCAGACGUCGGACCACGACCACUCUACUUCUCUGAACGAGAACGCUGCGGUGGCGAGGAGGAGGAGGAUUUGGAUUGUGAUGGUUUGGUUCCCCUUCCUUGCCAUUUUCGUUACUUAACCUAGUAUUUUGCCCCAUCUAUCCGGCAGCACAAAGUUCUGGGCGCUGUGUAUAGACCAUUACACAAUUAACCACAGAAUCACUGCCACCUGAUGGAGAGUAUCCACUCGUUGUUAGAUGCUUAAAGUUUUCCGCGUCUAAGAAGCCCAAUCCAGAAGGAGGGUUUGAUUUUCUUGCCUCUCUUCGUGUUUGGAGACCAAUUAUUCGACGCCAUUGCAAUUCCCUCAAUUCAACGACGAAGGGAAGCAAAUGGCAUUGAGGAGGGCACCCGGGACAGUAGUGACCACUCCCACGGGACGAAGAGGAUGAAAAUCGUGUAGGAAGGUUUUCAACAGGACGUUUUUUAGGAAAGGUUAAUUUCAAAUUAUAUUAAUUUUAGACACGGAUGGCCACGAUGAUGUAGGCACAUGGACGGCUGUACGGUGUGACGACAACAAUGAUGAUGAGAUUGCUUCAGAUGAUGAUAAAUUGUGUCCUUCAAUUUUUUUUUAUUUUUUUAUUUUUAUUUUUUAUUUUUUGUAGACAAUGCUGGUCGUGCAAGCCAACUUGAGCUAAAGGGAGGUUUUGUAUUUGAA